RNAcentral lists this ribosomal RNA (490 nucleotides) under uncultured bacterium. Its description in RNAcentral is "partial 16S ribosomal RNA". It matches the Rfam family "Bacterial small subunit ribosomal RNA", at positions 30 to 507 of the family's 1533-position model. The record is from RNAcentral.
AUUGAACGCUGGCGGCAGGCCUAACACAUGCAAGUCGAACGGUAACAGGAAGAAGCUUGCUUCUUUGCUGACGAGUGGCGGACGGGUGAGUAAUGUCUGGGAAACUGCCUGAUGGAGGGGGAUAACUACUGGAAACGGUAGCUAAUACCGCAUAACGUCGCAAGACCAAAGAGGGGGACCUUCGGGCCUCUUGCCAUCGGAUGUGCCCAGAUGGGAUUAGCUAGUAGGUGGGGUAACGGCUCACCUAGGCGACGAUCCCUAGCUGGUCUGAGAGGAUGACCAGCCACACUGGAACUGAGACACGGUCCAGACUCCUACGGGAGGCAGCAGUGGGGAAUAUUGCACAAUGGGCGCAAGCCUGAUGCAGCCAUGCCGCGUGUAUGAAGAAGGCCUUCGGGUUGUAAAGUACUUUCAGCGGGGAGGAAGGGAGUAAAGUUAAUACCUUUGCUCAUUGACGGUACUCGCAGAAGAAGCACCGGCUAACUCCGUG